GUAGGAGGCGAGCGUUGUCCGGAAUCAUUGGGCGUAAAGAGCGCGCAGGCGGCCCGGCAAGUCGGGUGUGAAAUCCCGGGGCUCAACCCCGGGACUGCAUCCGAUACUGCCGGGCUAGAGGUAGGUAGGGGAGAUCGGAAUUCCUGGUGUAGCGGUGAAAUGCGCAGAUAUCAGGAGGAACACCGGUGGCGAAGGCGGAUCUCUGGGCCUUACCUGACGCUCAGGCGCGAAAGCUAGGGGAGCGAACAGGAUUAGAUACCCUGGUAGUCCUAGCCGUAAACGUUGGGUGCUAGGUGUGGGCGGAUAUCGACCCCGUCCGUGCCGAAGCUAACGCAUUAAGCACCCCGCCUGGGGAGUACGGCCGCAAGGCUAAA
RNAcentral lists this ribosomal RNA (374 nucleotides) under uncultured bacterium. RNAcentral describes it as "bacterial SSU rRNA". It matches the Rfam family "Bacterial small subunit ribosomal RNA", at positions 527 to 898 of the family's 1533-position model. The record is from RNAcentral.